UGAAUUCACGUGUCGCUUUCUGAGUGCGUCAUUGCCCUGACGCUGUGCAUGCGGUGUAUCUGGAGCAGCAGUAAACGGUUAUUUUCCUGGACACUUCUUCACCUUUAUUCAACAACAUGUCAUCUUUACUGAAAGUCGACCGCGAGCUGAAGAGCAAAGUGGAGACGUUCAGGACUCAGAUCAGCAGUGAGGCUGAGCACCUGGUUGCCUGCUUCUUCCCUAAAAAGCUCCUGGAGUUGGAUCAGUUUCUCAGGGUGAGAGACCUGACUGCAAA
Molecule: long non-coding RNA, 274 nt
Organism: Notothenia coriiceps (black rockcod)
Lineage: Eukaryota; Metazoa; Chordata; Actinopteri; Perciformes; Nototheniidae
Exons: 3
Source: RefSeq, a predicted model, not a curated record